AAGUCGUAACAAGGUUUCCGUAGGUGAACCUGCGGAAGGAUCAUUAUCGUAACAAACGGGGGCGUGCCAGCUCUGCUCCGGCUCAAUCGGCCGUGAGCGGGUGACCGCGUCUUCUGUCCACACAAAACCCCUGUGCACCUUUCGGCAAAGGUGGGCGCGAGCCCGUCUGACCCGCAUCACAAACUCAGUAUUAAGAAUGUAACGCAGACUCAGUCUGUCUAAACAAAUAACAA
Molecule: unclassified non-coding RNA, 233 nt
Filed under: plant metagenome
Description: partial contains small subunit ribosomal RNA and internal transcribed spacer 1
Rfam family: Eukaryotic small subunit ribosomal RNA (bases 1-46)
Source: RNAcentral